GCCUGGCCGGCCUGGCGGCGGCGGGGGCAUCCGUCCUUCCGCGGCGGGCCGGACGUGCAGUUCGAGCACUUCUCCCUGGCAC
This 82-nucleotide transfer RNA is filed under the name Methylobacterium indicum. RNAcentral's name for it is "tRNA-Gly". The record is from RNAcentral. Lineage: Bacteria; Pseudomonadati; Pseudomonadota; Alphaproteobacteria; Hyphomicrobiales; Methylobacteriaceae.